This 246-nucleotide unclassified non-coding RNA is filed under the name Hevea brasiliensis (rubber tree). The record is from RNAcentral. Lineage: Eukaryota; Viridiplantae; Streptophyta; Magnoliopsida; Malpighiales; Euphorbiaceae.
UGCAACUAUAUGUGAUCUCUAUUUAUUGUUUGAUGCUAUAUUCUUGAGAUGUUUGUGGAUAUGCAGAUCAAAUGCAUGUCAGUAACUAUAUGAUCACUAUCUAUUAUUUGGAUGCUAUAUUUUUUAGAUGUUUUUGGCUAUCCAGAUCAAGUUCAUUAACUAUAUGAUCACUUAUGAUUUUUGUUUUUUCCUUUGCACUUUUCUAUGUCCAUGUUUUUUUCGAUCACUUCAUUUACUGCUUUAAAA